UUUGUAGUUUAGAGGUAAAACGUCAGGUUCACAACCUGAAGUCGAUGGUUCGAAUCCAUCUUAACCCA
RNAcentral lists this transfer RNA (68 nucleotides) under Myoviridae sp. ctPuP5. RNAcentral describes it as "tRNA-Val". It matches the Rfam family "tRNA". From Rfam's summary of the family: Transfer RNA (tRNA) molecules are approximately 80 nucleotides in length. Their secondary structure includes four short double-helical elements and three loops (D, anti-codon, and T loops). The record is from RNAcentral. Lineage: Duplodnaviria; Heunggongvirae; Uroviricota; Caudoviricetes.